Molecule: non-coding RNA, 1907 nt
Organism: Macrostomum lignano
Lineage: Eukaryota; Metazoa; Platyhelminthes; Macrostomidae
Source: Rfam
UAUCUGGUUGAUCCUGCCAGUAGUCAUAUGCUUGUGCUUCAAAGAUUAAGCCAUGCAUGUCUAAGUAACAAACCUUAAUACGGUGAAACCGCGAAUGGCUCAUUAAAUCAGCUAUGGUUCCUUAGAUCGUCUCUCAUCUACUCGGAUAACUGUGGAAAAUCUAGAGCUAAUACGUGCUUACAAGCCCUGACCUCACGGGAGGGGCGCAUUAUUAGAUCAAAAACCAAUCGGGGGCUUGCCCCGUCUGCUUGGUGACUCUGGAUAACUUUUGUGCUGAUCGCAUGGCCUCUGCGCUGGCGACGUAUCUUUCAAGUGUCUGCCCUAUCAACUUACGAUGGUAGGUGAUAUGCCUACCAUGGUUAUAACGGUAACGGGGAAUCAGGGUUCGAUUCCGGAGAGGGAGCCUGAGAAACGGCUACCACAUCUAAGGAAGGCAGCAGGCGCGCAAAUUUACCCACUUCCGGCACGGGGAGGUAGUGACGAAAAAUAACGAUACGGGACUCUUUUGAGGCCCGUAAUUGGAAUGAGUAACACUUUAAAUCCGUUAAACAAGUAUCUAUUGGGGAGGGCAAGUUCCUGGUGCCAGCAGCCGCCGGUAAAUUCCCAGCUCGUCCAAUAGCGUAUAUUAAUGCUUGCUGCAGUUAAAAAGCUCGUAGUUGGAUCUGAGGACUCGAAUUGGUUGGUGCACCAUACGGUGUUACUGCGAUUCGGCCUACCUAGUCGGGUGCUCGCCUCUUGUGUUUCUUAAUUGAAUGCCCUGAAAGUGCCCGGCAAAGUUUACUUUGAAAAAAUUAGAGUGCUCCAAAGCAGCCAUUAGCCGGAAUACUUCAGACACAUGGAAUAAUGGAAUAGGACUUCGGUUCUAUUUUGUUGGUUUUCGGAAACCCGAGGUAAUGAUUAAAUAGAGACAGCACGGAGGGCGGCAUUCGUACCUGCGGUGUUAGAGGUGAAAAUUCUUUGGAUCGCCGCAAGACCGAACAACUGCGAAAAGCAAUUUGCCAAGAAUGUUUUCAUUAAUCAAGAAACGAAAGUCAGAGGUUCGAGAGACGAUCAGAAUACCGUCCUAGUUCUGACCAUAAACGAUGCCAACUGGCGAUCCGAGAUCGUUUGCUUAUUGACCUCUCGGGCAGAGCCUCCGGGAAACCAAAAGUUUUUAUAGGUUCCCGGGGAAGUAUGGUUGCAAAGCUGGAAUCUUAAAGGAAUUGACGGAAGGGCACCACCAGGAGUGGAGCCUGCGGCUUAAUUUGACUCAACACGAGGAAAAACUCACCCGCCCGGACACUGUUAGGAUUGACAGAUUGAUAGCUCUUUCUUGAUUCGGUGGUGUGGUUGCAUGCCGUCUUAGUUUUUGGUGGAGCGAUUUGUCUGGUUAAGUUCCGAUAACGAACGAGAACCUAAGCCUGCUAAAAUAGUAACGCCGAUGUUACAUUUCGUCGGUGCUGACUUGAUUCUGUAGGAGGGACAAUCAGCGCUUGAGACGCACAGAAGAUUGAGCAAUACAGGUCUGUGAUGCCUUAGAUGUUUCGGCGGCCGCACGCCGCGCUAACACUGAAGGGGACAGCGAGUUUUUCCUGGGUUUCGAAAGAACCGGGUAAUCUGUUGAAUUCCCUUCGUUGACGGGAUCAGGAUCGGGCUCUUGCAAUUAUUCCCCCGUGACGAGAGGAAUUCCCAGUAAGCGCAAGUCAUCAGCUUUGCGCGUUGAUUACGUCCCUGCCCUUUGUACACACCGCCCGUCGCUACUACCGAUGAUUGAAUGGUUUAGCAAGGUCCUCGGAUUGUGCCGCCGACUUGGUGGGCAACACUAGGGUCGAUGAUACUGAAAAGAAGAUAUCAAACUUGUAUCAUUAGAGGAAGAGUAAAAGUCGUAACAAGAGGUUUCCGUAGGUGAACCUGCGGAAGGAUCAUUA